Long non-coding RNA from Pomacea canaliculata, 1223 nucleotides. RefSeq lists it as uncharacterized. The record is from RefSeq and is a predicted model, not a curated record. NCBI's taxonomy places the organism in Eukaryota, Metazoa, Mollusca, Gastropoda, Architaenioglossa, Ampullariidae. The transcript is spliced from 3 exons.
GAAUGCAGUUGAGGUGCGUAUACCAGUGAAAAGCGCGGGAGUCGAGAUAAACAUUAGCCAAGGGGAGCUCACUCUAGAGAAAAGUAGAAGACGCAGACGACAUCGGUUGACAUGACAAUGGAAGGAAGCAGAAGGGUGUGUUUAGAGAAGUUCAGAAGUCAGCGUUUAGGAAGUAAUUCAUGUCUAGUCAAGCCAAUCUGCCGGCCUCCAGAUGCCGUCAGCGGAGACUACAGAAAUUAUUGAUUGUGGACUCAUAGGAAGAUUCGAGUGGAGUAUCAGGUACCAAGGUGUUGCUCCAGCGGACUACCUUCGGCAGUGAGCAUCUUCUGAGGAACUGCAAGAGUGUAACUAAAGCUUUCAGACCGAUGUCUGUGUAUUGUUGAAAUGGCAAUGAUGAGAACAUUCCUGUUCAGCUAAACAGGUGCAACGGUAUUCAGGGACAAAUAAACCACAGUCGAGGUAAAACAAAAUCGGAGAUUUGCAAGAAUGUGUUUCAGUGACUGGACUGAAAAUUCGUUUCUAAAUACUGAUGAUGAGGAGGAGAAGUGCAACGAAGAAUAGGAGAAAGAGAAGGUUUAGACAGAAGAGGAAAAACGAAAUAACUUGAAUUUACCCAGUUUAAGAUGAGGAUUUUGUUUAAAGCAGGGUAUAUAGUAUAUGAGUAGCUCAAGCAUAUCUUAGCAUUUCUAAUGAGCUUCUUCGUCACUAGCUAUAAGACUUCCGAUGGUUAGUUUUGUUGGCUUAUGUAGUAGGAAAGUGCUUCCACCUUGCGGCUAUUUAGCACUAUAGGGGAAGAGUACCCAGAGAAACCCGCGAUACCUAGCCCUGUAGACAGAUGUCACAUAGAGUGUCCCGAGACGAGAUAUGAACUGCAGUGGUGACAAGCGAGUGUUUUAACUACACUGCCGAACGCCCCACAAGACUACCGAACCGCGUGGUCAGUUCCUUCAUUUGUUCGUUAAUUGAGGUUAACUUUCUCGAGGUGUCGCGCAUUAAUGGUCUUAUCUAAGGACCUCAUCGGCUGUUCUACAUGUGACAUUAUUGCAUUACUCAAAAAAACUGUAGCAAGGUGCAAUACAAAGCGAUUAUUUAACCAAGUCUUACCUGAUAUAAGUCAUUUUCUCAUUUUCUUUUUACGUAUAGUGCCAAAAUGAACUUGUAACUACUGAUAAUAAACAAAAGGUCAACAGCUCAAGUCUAAACAAAUAAUGAUUACAAAGAGA